Rattus norvegicus (Norway rat) is the source of this 16886-nucleotide non-coding RNA. The record is from RefSeq and is a predicted model, not a curated record. Lineage: Eukaryota; Metazoa; Chordata; Mammalia; Rodentia; Muridae.
UCUUCCUUUCUUCCUUUCUUUCUUUCUUUCUUUCUUUCUUUCUUUCUUUCUUUCUUUUUCCUUCUUUCUUUUUUUUUGGCUGCCUGGAAGCUUGCAGUCUCCUUGCCUGCUUAUGCCUAGCAUGAGGAUUACAGAUGUGAGCGCCAUGCCUAACAAUGGAGCAUAUUACCUGCCCCAGGAAGUGAAACUAAGUCAUUGUUAAAUUGUUGAUAGAAGAGUUAGAAAUGAAACAUUUGGCUGUUUGACUGAGCAAAAGGACUUGCUGAGAAUCAUGAGCAGCCCUCUGGGUGACUCAGUUCUGAAAUAGUUUUCUCCAGUAUUCAUGUGAAUUCUGUAACAACAGCAUAAAGGGUUUCCCCUCAUGACCAACCUCACUUAAGCCCACCUCUCACUUGGCCCAGCGUCUCUUGGAAGCAGGGUUGGUGGUGGAAGAGGCCAAGGGGAUGCUCUGUCUCUGUAAGUAUCUCGCACAUUGCCAUCUGUCAUGCUCACCUUGUCUGUGCUUCUCUCUGUCAGGGCAUCAUCCUUCCUGUGGAGCCAGCAGCCCUUAUUGAUCCAGUCACAGAUAACUGAGCAGUCUAGAAGUAAUAGGAGACCGAUGGCAAAUUGUGUCUUUCCACAUCCGACGAUGAUGAGUUACCUUGGAUCUUUCAGAAGCUAGUUUCGGAAUAAUGGUAACCCAAAAUCCAACAGAAGGGAGUCACUUCCCCUGUAAUGCAGUUGUGAUUAAGAAUGAUUAUUUUGUCUUUGUCAAUGUUAAUAACACCUAAUCCUUAAUCCUCCUUAUGAGAUUUGCUUUAAUAUCUAGAAAUAGUGGAGUUUCCUGAAACUCCACUUGCUAUGCUAGGGCUGAAACGUGCUUGCUGUGAAACCAGAAACUCACUAGAGAUUGUGGAGGGUAUCCACAUGGGAAUUUCUCUAUGAAAUUGGAAUUGGGUCAUAAUGUUACCUUUGGAUAGUAUUCUAGGGGAAUAGGACAUACAUCUGACUGUAUAAAGAGUAAUUUAUGUCCUGGCCCAAUUGUUAGCACUAUUCUGCCUUGGUAUCUUUGCAUUUUAAGUAAGCACAUUGUUAUUAACUUAGUUUUGGUUGUUUUGAGACAGGAUCUCACUAUACAUGCUUGGCUGGCUUGAAGCUCACUAUAAAGACCAGGCUGGCUUCCAGUUUGCAGAGAUCUGCCUGCCUCCGCCUCCUGAGUGCUGGGAUUAAAGGCACGCACCACCACGCUGGACUUAUAUUUUGAGUAAGCACACGUAAUCCUGGAAAAAUUAGUUAAUUCAUUAUUUUAUUUCCAUUUUUCACAUUAAAAUGUUGGGAAUGCAAGAUUAAGAACCUGGGAAAGCAGCAAAAGGAAGGGAUCCCGUAAGCCUCUGGUGAAGCUGCCACUUAUGGGCCACUCAUAAGACUCAGAACCGAUAGAGUCUGGUCAGGGUCACUUGGGCCACCUGAGAGUCUAUCAUCUCUCGCUUAUGACAGAGGCUAAUGUCUUUAAUACCUUUAACGCCUGUUACGGCAGAAAAUCCUCGCCAGACUCAAGGAACAGAAAACUUUAACGUAUGGAAUGACUUCCACAAAUAUUUACUGAGAACCAGCACCCUCUGAAGCAGUGGGAUUCUAACAAGAUGGAUGGAUCUCAGCCUCCCUAGAGCUUAUUGUCCAGUGGAAAUAAAGACAAUGGACAAGCAAACAAAGAGCCCAUGAAGAGAAUAAGACAGAGUAAUGCGAUUGAGAAUGUGGGGCACCGGAAGUGGAGGGCACUGGAGCGGAUGUUGAAGCGGUGAGGAAGUUAGCGUCCCGGAUAUUGGAAACACACGCCAGGAGGGGUGAGUGAAGUAACAGCAGGGACUGUGGUAGCUGUAUCCUGGGGAGUGAGGAGGAAAGGGAGCGGAGGCAGCAAGGACUGGCUGCUGCGAAGAUGAUGUAAGGACCCGGCGAGGAGGUCAAAUGCUAUUCUAAUAGAAACUGGGAACACAACUCCGUGGACAAGAAUGAAGAGCUUCCGCGCUACUUCAGCCUGUUGGAGAUUGCGGAUGUAAGCUGCCACAGCCAAGAGUUGUCUUGAGAAAUUACCGGAACAGGAAGAGAGAAGUUCUGCGUUGCGAUCAGACGUGGUUGCUUUCUGGUGCGUGUUGGACGUGAGCACAUUGACCCCAGGUGUGUCAGAGUGGAAGACUCAAGUGCGGGCAUUGUUUGUGCUUGGGUAAUAUUUGAGGAUCAGGAGCUGAACCAGUUGGUCCAGGGACAGCGUACUGAUACCAGGGGAGGUAGUCCCAAACUGUGUUCCAAAGUGGAGACUGGCAGGAGGAGGAACCAGUAAGAGAGGCAAAGAAGGGACAGCCAGGACCAGGGGAGAGGGAGUGUGGGGCCAUGGAAACAGGAGAAACUGUCUGGGGAAGUGUUUGUUAUGGUCGAGAGGAUAAGCAAGAUGAGAACAGAGAGGUGGGUAAGGAUGCUUGUGUGUCCUUGAAAAGAGGGAGGACCACGCCUGGCAUAAUUAAGGUGACGAGGCAACGCUCUUGUCUUCAGAGAAGUACAAUGUUGUCAAGCAACAAAACCAGUGCUAAGUAGAACUUCAUUUUGUGGCUGCACUUAACUUCUGGGAACGCUCGCGUUUCCAUGGAAACCAAGAAUUAUUCCAUGGAAUAAUAUUAUCUUUAGCUUCAAGGGUACCCAGAGGUCGGGUAGUCUAAAUUCUCACCUUAGCCCUUCCAGCACGAGCUGACACAUGCUCACAUUUGCACAAACAUUUCCAGACACAGAAGAUCACCCCAUGGGAUGUGCUGUGGUUGGCUGGCUUUGGGCAGUUUUUUUUUAAAAAAAAAAAGUCUUUCACAGUCAAGAAGAGACUCAGUCACCAACUCAAGGCAGGAGAGGCUCAGGGAGCUGCUAAGUAGGCUGGAGAGCACAGAAGGAAGGGGGAGUAAGGUUCAGGGGAGCUGAACUGGUCACGCGCUGGUUUCCUUCGUUGUCCAAUAGAUGCAGUUUGUGAUUAGCUGGCGCUCAGCUGCUUCUGAUUGGCUGGGACUCAACUCUCCGUUAGACCGUUAAGUAUGAAUUUUCCAGUUUGUUUAUAAACUGAGUUUGGUAGCCUCAAGUCGAUUUUAAUUUGCCAGGCUGCUUUGGCAGUAUCCAGGAGUUUAUGGUACCAAGAUUGUGUGUAUGCGUGUGUGUGUGUGUGUGUGUGUGUGUGUGUGUGUGUGUGCGCGCGCGCGUAUACACACACACACACACACACACACACGCAAACACUCGUGGGUAUGUCCACAUUCAUGUGGAGGUCAGAGGACCUUGAUUUGUUUGUUUGUUUGUUUGUUUAUUUAUUUAUUUUGAGGCAGGGUGUCUCAAUUUAGUCCUAGAACUCGAUAUAUAGACAGGGCUAGCCUUUAGCUCACAAAGAUCCUCCUGCUUUUGCCUCCCAAGUGUUGGGAUCAAAGAUGUGCACCACAAUUCAAGCACACCCUGAGUUUUGGCAAACAACAACUUCUUUCUUUCUUUCUUUCUUUCUUUCUUUCUUUCUUUCUUUCUUCCUUCUCUCUCUCUUUCUUCUUCCUCUUCCUCUUCCUCUUCCUCCUCCUCUUCCUCCUCCUCCUCCUCCUCCUCCUCCUCUUCUUCCUCCUCCUCCUCCUCCUCCUCCUCCUCCUCCUCCUCCUCCUCCUCCUCUUCUUCUUCUUCUUCUUCUUCUUCUUUUCUUCUUUUUUUGAGACCAACUCUUUUACCUCUGGUCAGGUUAAUUGGCAAAUAGGACUCAGGAAUCUCAGGAAUCUACUUUUCUCUACCUACAUAACUCUGGGAAUUGAACCCAUGCCCUACAAUCCUUUACUGCCUGAGAGUUCUCUCUAGUUUAUGUCAGAAUAUUUUUAACGAGCGUUUACUUCCUCCUUCCCCCUCCUCCUUUUCCUCCUCCUCUCACCUCUCUUUCUUGUGAGGAGGUCGUAUAGUAGAAAGACCCUGGGCUUUAAGUCAGAUUUAUAAGUGUUUGUUUUAAAUCUUUGGCCCCUGGAUCUGUUUAACAUCAGGCAACUUUUAGUCUUAGAGUCUCUUGAUUGGUGAAAGGAAGCAAAUAACCUUAGUUACCUUUUUCACAGAACUAUUCUGGACAUGCAGUGAGAUGACCUGUUUGAAACACUCAUCAGGUACCCUGUACAGGACAGACACAGUCUGUGGUGACCUGUCCCAGGAGUGCUGGGAGGUUUCUCUGGAAAAUGUUCUCUGCCAACACCCCCACCCCUCACCCUUCAUACCUCUAGCUGUCCAGUUCUCCUCUUAUACCUUUAGCACAGGGUUCUGGUCAUUUACUGAUCUGAUCUAUUGCUCUUUAUCCUGGAUGAUAAACCCCAGGAAGGUUCUUACCUUUAGGGAGGUGAAGCAGCUACAUGAUGAAUGGUGUUUGCGCAGUCAAAGGGAAGCUCCUUCAGCGUCAUCUGAAGGUCUUGGGUGGUUUACUGACCCCCUCUGAGCCUUCUUUCCUCAGAUGAAGAAUGGUUAGGUUUGGUAUGGCAGAAGUGGGAGGGAGUUAGAGAUACAGUUCUGAGGAAGUUCUUGAGCCAGUGCCUGGCAGAUGGACAGGGCUCUAAAUGUCACAGGAUUAUCCCUGAAGGGAGUUAGCUUGUGGAUGAGGAGACAAAGUGCCUUAGCAGAUGACAUGGGUUAUCACCUGGUUGGAUACACACACUUUAGAUAAUGUCAUUUCCCAGAACCUGGACAUGUAAUCUCAGAAGUCAUAUGUAAAACAUGAUAAUUACAGAAGUUUGGAAAUUUAGAAUUCUAUGAAUCAGAAGGGAAAGUUCUGACUGGGACUUUUCUCCAGUGCUCCCCCCCCCCCCCCGUUGAGCUUGGCGUGUAGAAUUUAUUGAUUUUUUUUUUAAGACUAAAAUAACCAGGGGACUGGAGAGAUGGCUCAGCAGUUAAGAGCACUGGCUAUUCUUCCAGAGGUCCUGAGUUCAGUUCCCAGCAACAACAUGGUGGUUCACAAUCAUCUGUAAUGGGAUCUGAUGUCCUCUGCUGGUGUGUCUGAAGACAGCUACACUGUACUCAUAUAAAUAAAAAUUAAUAAAAGAAAAAACUAAAAUUACAAAUUUUGUUGGAAUGGGUUCAUGUUUGUGGACAUCCACAAAGGCUUACAAGCGGUUGUGAGCUGCCAGUUGUGGGUGCUGGGAACAAACUUGGGUCUUCUGAAAGGGCAGCAAGGUCUCUCACUCCUGAACCAUUGAGCCUGUAUUGUUCACACACUUUGUGGUUGAAGAUCUAACCUCAGACUGAGUUGACAAAACUCAAGAGAUAAGCUGAGCAGUUUGAAUUAAUUAGAAACGUACAACUAAAACCUGGUUUAAGAGUAAUGCCUUUUCUGACUGGACUGUAGUUUUCAUUUGCUCUUCAGACGUGUGCGUAGAGAUGAGACCAGCAUGCUUGGGGCUCACAGGAAGAGAAGUGCCUUGGUCAAAGAUUUUUUUUAAAAAAGAUUUGUUUAUUUACUUCAUGUUUGAGAACACUGUCACUGUCUUCAGACACACCAGAAGAGGGCAUCUGAUCCCAUUACAGAUGGUUGUGAGCCACCAUGUGGUUGCUGGGAACUGAACUGAGGACCUCUGGAAGAGCAGCCAGUGCUCUUAACCACUGAGCCUUGAUCAAAGAUUCUUUCCCCUACUGCCCCAUGCCUAAUAGUUUCUUUUCCGAGCUCCAUGCAUUUCUUUAAAUUGGGGUUUGGCCAAGAAGCCCCAGUUGGGUGGCAGUAGACAUACUUCCUGGCCAGUGACUCCCAGGGUGGGAAGGUGGAGAACAGGCAGCCGUGCGCACAGAGCAGUGUGACCUUUGCUCUAUGCUCUCCAGGGAACUGGACACCAGCUUCUGUCAUAGAGGCUCUUAUCUUUGGUUCCCACUCUUGGAAUUUCUCCUGCUCUGGUUUGCCAAAGGGAGUCCUUGAGAUUGCAUUUAGAUUUUGGAAAAACAGCAGGAAAAGUUCUGUGGAUGAGCUGGGGACUAUGUCAUCCUUUGAAAAUGAGUUUUUAUUUUUUGAGGCAGUAUGUACAGACCCAGAGGCAUUUUACUCUGGUAGAUUUUUAUCUUGUUUUAAAAUAAAUAGAAAGGGACACUUGAGUAUUUUUAUCAAAUUAUUGAUCUAAAACAAAGCCCAUGGUAACAAAAUGCUUCUUUUUCCCAAUAAUGUUCUAUUAUCAGCAUUUCAUUGAUAUCCUAAAAGCAAACUGUAUCUCUCCUGAUUUUUAUGUGAUAGAAAAUUAUUAUUUGCAACGUCGCUGCAUCUGUUUUAGAUGUGAAGAUUUGUUUGGAUCUGGACUUAAAUCUUUUGGCAAAUGGGAUUUUGUAUUCAGACAAGUGACUGACUUAGUAACUAAAUGUAAUUCUUCAAAUAUUUCAAUACUUCUUUUGGCCAAAUGUUCAAGCUGUCAAUAUCCCCGCCUUCAUGUGUUCACAGUGUAAUUGCUUUUAGGAUAAUGAAUUUUACAUUACGAUAGAGGGGAUCCCCAUUUGGUUGAUCACAGUAAAGUAUGAAACUUGGCUACUGGAAAUCUUCCUAGGAAGACCCCCCCCCCCCAGCCUUUUAAGUCAGUGGUUUUCAACCCUCUAACACUGUGACCCUUUAAUACAGCUCCUCAUGUUGUGGUGACCCCCCACCCAUAAAAUUAUUUCAUUGCUGCUUAGGUGUAAUUUUGCUACUGUGAUGAAUUAUAAUGUAAAUGUCUGUGUUUUCUGAUGGUCUUAGGCAACCACCAUGAGUGGGUUGUUUGACCCCUGAAGGGGUCACAGGCUACAGGUUGAGAAACACUGAUAUAGCUCUGAAAUUUUUUUUUAACUCUGAAAUUUUUUAAAAAUGAUUUAUUUAAUGUAUAUGAGUACACUGUAGCUAUCCUCAGACACACCAGAAGAGGGCAUCAGAUCCCAUUACAGAUGGUUGUGAGCCAUCAUGUGGUUGCUGGGAAUUGAACUCAGGACCGUUGGAAGAGCAGUCAGUGAUCUUAACCACUGAGCCAUCUCUCCAGCCCAAGCUCUGAAAUUUUUAUUGCUCAGAUAUUGUUAUGGAUUUUAUCCAAUUGUCUGUGGCCAAAUUCUGGGGGAAUGUUCUAAUUGCCAUAAAACUUCUAAACAAUUUCCAAAGUUUAAAUGAUUAUAAGGCCUUUUUUUAUUUUUUAAAACUGUGGUAAUAGUUGGCAUUUAAAUUUUAUUUUGUUGUUAUUAUAUUGUUAUUAUUAUUAUUGAUGGUAUUUAACUGUGUGGCCCAUGCUGGCUUUGAACUUGUGGUCCUUCUGUCCCAGAUUCCAGAGUGCUGGGAUUAGAGGCAUGUAUCAGCACACCCAGUUCUGGGUUCUACUUUUUGGAUGAUUUGAUAUCAAAGUUCAUGUAUUUAAGAGAGAAAAGAGACACAAAACACUCUGCAUUAUCCCAUCUUUGUUUUUGUGAAACAAGGUUUCACUGUGUAGCCUUGGCUGGCCUAGAACCCACUCUGUAGACCAGGCUGGCUUCCAACUCAGGUCUACCUGCCUCUGCCUUCCAUGUGCUGGGAUCACAGGCAUGAGUCAAGAUGCCUGGCGAGCAAUCCACUUUUAAAUGUACACUGGUGUUACAUGAAUUUUAAUGUCGAGUGCCCUGUCUCCACAUCUCUUCUCAUGUUGCAACAUCAACAUUUUGUGCCCGGUAUGCACGGUGCUCACUUCUCCACCUUCCCAGCUCCCGGAGACCACUAUUCUGCUCUCUCUAUGAUUUCUGACUAAGUAUAUCACACAGUGGAAUUAUAGGACAUUUGCCAUUUACUUACUGGCUUACUUCACUUAACACAGUGUCCCCAAGGUUCAUCCAUGCAGUAGCACAUCUCAGCCAAGCCUUCUUGGUGUGUGUGUGUGUGUGUGUGUGUGUGUGUGUGUGUGUGUGUGUGAUAGUCUCUUAAGAAGACCCACCCUAAAUCUGGGUCACACCUUCUGGUGGCAUGUGAGAGGACAAGGAAGAAGGACCGGCUUUGUGCCUACUUGCCCUCCCUCUGAUUGGUAAGCUUGCCUUUCUUGUGGCUGUGCUCAGUAUUCAAUGCAACGUUUUCAAGAUUCCAGUGUACACUGAAGGCCAGCAGCUCUCCAGAGUCCUCCAGGACUCCAGCAUCAGGCUGAGACUUCUGAGAUAUCCAGCCACAUGGACCGGUACUCAUCACUGGACUGCCUGGACCACAGCCUAUAAGUCAGUUCAACAAAUCCUCUUGUUUGUUUUCCAAGAGGGUUUUUCUGUGACACCAGGCUGGCCUUGAACUCGGCUUUCUACCUGCCUUUGCCUCCAGUGCAGAGAUUAAAGGUGUGAGCUAUCACCACCCAGUUCAGUAGCUUACUCAAGGUGGCCUGGAUGUUGAGGUGAGUUUCUGUACUACAUCGUUAGAUCAUGAGAAACCUCUGGGGAUCAAAAAACUUAAUCCAUAAACCAUAUGUAUAUAUAAAUAAUAUAUAUAAUAUAUAUAAAUAAUAACAAAAUAUAUAUAAAUGAUAUAUUUAUGGACCUAAAUAUCACCUUCCAAACCCCUACAAUGUGGUACACAGUGUUCUGUUUUGGAGCCAAUGACUGCUUCGGUCUUUGUGGCUUGUCUCUGCUGGCACAGGUUGGUUCUGCAGCCUUCAGCAGUGCAGCAGCCAAUGAGUGGGCAGUGCAGCUGGGUCUCAAUAGCACCUGAUUUUUGGACUCUAAAACUUGAAUUUCACACCAUUUUCACAUAUCAUAAAGUGUUAUCCUUCUUGAUUUUUUCCCCAUCAUUAAAAAAUGUGAAAAACUGCACGUACCUUGUAGGCUGGACCAAAAUAAAUGCUGGGCCAGAUUCAGCUCAUAAACCAUGGCUGCUGACCAUGUCUUAUUAAAUGUUGACCAUAAACAGCAUGGCAUAGCUAUAAUAUACAUGCUGUAAGUGGGGUCUGUAGAGUGUUAGUUUUUCUAAUAAUCUUUACCAAUUGGAUAAUAUCCCACCCGAAGGUUAGUCUCUACCCUUCCCUCCUUCCUUCCCUCCCCCUCCCUCCCUCCCUCCUUCCUCCCUCUCCUUCUCUUCCUUCCUUUCUUCUUCCCAGCUCUUAACUAAUGAUGGGUUCAUAAUAUGUAAUAGAACACUAUACUUUCUCAUGCUUUUCGGGGUAUAUUUUAAAUACCACACAAACCAUAGAAAAGUUUCCACAGUUUUAAGCACAUUGUUUUAAAAUCAUUUGGUGAUAUAAGCAACUAAUUACUUUAGACCCCUCCAUAAAAAUCAUUUUGUUUGGGUUAACGUUGAAUUCCACUAAUUGCUCUUGCACAUACUUGGAGGUGAAAGGAGCUGUUUCCGAAUUACAGCAGGUGAAUCAGUGUGUGUGGGAACUUUGCCACUUGACGUGCAGUCGAGACUUAGCUGCUUGCUGAUAAGGAUGGCUGUGUGAGCAUGUGCAUCAACACGCAUGUUCUCCAGGCAAGAACCAUGUGAGAGCAUGUAUAUACAUCAACAUGCAUGUUCUCCAGGGCAAGGAUCCGCAAGGCCCAGAAGCGAUUCAAAGGAUUUCAAAUCCUCAGUGUGGCACAUAACUAAUAACUCUCUGAAUUUAAAUAAAACGAGACUCAUAAAAAUUCAUAUACAUUUCCAGCAGAUUACAUUUUACGCUACAAUAAAAUACUUUCCUAAUAGAGGCUUUUUGCUUGAGUGGGUCUAGGUAGACUAUGACCCAAAUAAUGUUCCUUGGCGCAGGAUCUGCAGUCAGUAAGGAUCUGAUCUGCCCCAGAUGUUAGUUUGAGCCUCUUACGUUUCCCCCUGUUUAAAAAUUUGAAAUGUAUUUAAAUAAUGGGCAAUUAAAACAUCUCAGAAUGAAUCAGUUUGCAUAUGACCAAGGCAUUAAUGCCCAAAGGGCUGUAUAAAAGGACCUACACAUUCAUGGAUGACAAACGGAUGCAUGGUUAUAUGUUUACAAAAGCCUAAAUCACCAGCCUGGCCAUGCCUAACCCGAAGUCACAACAUCGACGAGCAAUGAGGCUUUCUAUGAGAAAAUAUCGUUCCAGCGUCAGAAUGUCACCUUGCUGUCUGAUGAUCCCACCGAUGACUGUGAACAGAGCCUGAGAAAUUGUGUCGUGACUGAAAAGAUGUGUGGUAAACCCUGGUCACUACCUAAGCCACAACGUCCAUUGCACAUCCAGCUACCACAAAGAUGUCUCCUUGCUGUGGUCACUCACUCCAUCCCCACCCCCAACACACAGUUACUAUGUGGCCAGCACAUUACAGUUCGUUUAUACAAUUAAUCACUGAGCAAAGUGGGGCCAUUCCUCCAUUAAGAUGUUUUCUGUAAUAACACAACAACUUGUAUCAAGAGUUAAUAUUUCUCCUCUUUUCAUUUAUGGCUAAAUUAAAAACGAGUCUAGCACCUGGGUUCCAUUUUACUCUCAGUUUUCUGAUUCUGUGUUGGGAAUCUGACUCGGAGAAAACUUCUUGUCAAGGAAGAAUUAUGCUUCUUUUCUGGCUAACAUUUAACUCUUAAAAACCGGAAAGAGUUUUUGGCCUCAUGUCUGGUCUAAAGAUGAAACCCAUUAGCAAUGUAAAAAAAAUGAACCAAAUAAGUUAUUCAGUCUAAAAGUACUUUGGGGACUUUUGGAGAUGGAGAUUAGAUUUGAUUAGACGAAAGUUCUAGCAGCUUGCUUGACUCGAUGAGAAAGUCGAGAGCGAUUCCUUCUGGUGCCAACGGAAGCGAUUAUGAUCCUGCCCACCUAUGCUCAGACUUUGUUCUCAGUACUUCAACGCGGCGUCUCAUUCCACUUGGUGAGGCUUCUGCCUCCUUCCACGAGAGGGGGAAGUUUAUUACCCUGUAACUUGCUGUUUCAAUAUUCUAAGUUGAGGAUAGAAUCGUUACAGCAAGAUGGUUUUAAGAGGAAAGAGGACUUCACAUCUAAGAAGUGUCUCUCAUUCCGAAGACAGUCUCUGUGAGGCAGCCAGCAGCCAGCUAAUGUUUUGAGACUCUGCGUUACUCUUAAGUGACCAUGUCCAUCACUCAUUAUUUUUUGGUCUUUUAAAAGCAACUCAGGAACAUUGCUUAGAAAUUUUAUGUUAAUUAGAACAUUCUACAAGGCUUUCGCCAUGGACGUUGAAUAAAAUCCCUAAAAAUAUCAGAGCAUUGAAAAAUUCAGAUCUGGGUCAUCUUUCACGUAUUUACUUUGCUUUCCUGAAGGUGUGGCCUCAACAUGGAGUCCUGGCUAGCCUCUCAGCUUCAAACCCCAUUGGUUACCACCGUGACGCUGCUGCUCUUCUGAAGGUGGGUGCCAUGUUAAACUCUGCCACUAGAGGGUGCUCGAGGGAUGUUGGGCAGAAUUUUUCUUCCUGGUUCUGGUGUGCUCUCUAGGAAGGCUCCCAGUUAUUCAGUGGCUUCUUUCUGUCUCACUUCUGUAGUUUUCAGUUUCCACCAAAUGUGGCUCCUCCACUGCCCUGCUCCUUUAGGGAAGCGGCUAGCUUCUUUGUGUGAGUUUCUCUCGUGCAGACAUCUGACUGUAUCCAGCUUCCAGCAGCUUCCUUGGCAGCCCCUUGCAUAGCUUUCUAGAGAGUUCCAAGGCGUAGGGUCUAACAGUGGAAGCCUCUCUCCGGUACAUUAGAGGGUGGAUUUCCAGAAACUUCUACAGCAUAAUAGCACCUCAACAACUAUUAAUUUGGCGAACCAUGACUGUAUUCUCUUUAACAAGGCCUUUCUCUCAGCCCCAGGAGGAGAAGAGCAUUGUUUCAAACCAGGGGUAGCAUUAGUGAUUCCUGUAUUCUUUUAGGGUCUUUUUUUAAAAAAAUAUUUUAUGUAUAUGAGUAUGCUGUCUUCAGACAUACCAGAGAGGGCAUCACAUCCGCUUACAGAUGGUUGUGAGCCACCACAUGGUUGCUGAGAAUUGAACUCAGCACCUCUGGAAGGGCAGUCAGUGCUCCUAACCGCUGAGUCAUCUCUCAGAAAAAGCCUGAGUCUUUUUCUUUUAGUUAAAUAAAAAAAAAAAAGAAGUGUGUUUUAUUUGUGCGUGUUUGUGAGUGGAUAUGUGGAGGUCAGAGAAGAGCGUGUGGUUCUUGGUUCUCUUUGCCCACCGUGUGGGUCCAGGGAAUGGAAUUCAGGCUCUCCGGCUUCGCGGUAAGUACCUCUGCGUCUCCAGGCGCACCAGAUUCUUUGUGCUGUUGGCUUGCCCAGGGAGUACAACUGGCUCAAGGCCUCAGGGUCACCGUUCUCCUAUAGCGCUUCCCUCCGGGUAUCUGCCUGCUCUUUUCUCUCCUCUCUCGAGGGGAGAGAAGCCCUUGAGGCCUUUGCUUGAUCACUUUUACAUUUUCAACCCUGAUCUGUCGCUUACUACCCAUAUUUCUUUAUUUAAUUUUCCCCCUGAAAAUUUUUACUUUCUAUGAUCCUCAUAAUUUAUACUUUUAUUUUGUUUCUCUCGUCACCUUCUGCCUAAAAAUUUUGUUAAGUUCCACGAAGCAAGAAUUAAUGAAAUGAAUUAAUUCAGCGCUUCAUCCUCAGGAAGUAGUUAGGACGGUACAAGUGUAUAGUGUGCCUCCCCUGGACUCUUAGGCUGAAGUUGAUCCGUACUCCUUACUUCAUUUUUACCUAACUCUUGUGUGUGUCUCUACGUAUGUGACUAGAAAUGAAGAUGACAGAAGAUGCCACCCUUGGCAGCCUCUACAUGCUGAAUAAAGCAUUCCUGUUGCUGGCUCCCUUUAAGCAGUGUCCCCAGCUUUAAAAAUGAGUGACUGUGGUGCAUAUUUAUCACCUUUUGUUUCUAUUCAAAGGACUUGUGAGUCAGUGACCUUAUGACCUCUAACCCCAGCGAAGUGCCUGGAAAGCAUCAGUCCUUCCUACCAAUUCGUGAAGGGGAGUUUCUAGAAGGACCACAGGCUUCAGUGUUCCAUAUGUAGCAAGAGUAUUACUUCUUGAACUUUAAUUGGCAAGUGUAUUCUUGUAGAGCAUCUUGUGGUACAGGUGUCCAUCUGUGGGUGAAUAGAUUUAGAAAAUAUGGUACAUACACAGUGGAGUUUUAUUUAGCCAUAAAGAAUAAAAACAUGUCACUUGCAGGAAAAUGGAAAAAAACCAGAGACUGCUGUCUGUGUUAAGUGAAAUAAGCACACUUAGAAAAACAAGCUUUGUCUCAUGUAUGGGACUAAAACAAACAGAGAAACCGUGAAAGUAUGAGGAGAACAUAGGGAAGAAAAAAGGGACCAAGGGAGGUGAGUGAGGGUGAUGGUAGUGAAUAUGAUCAAAAUACCCAUGCAUGCAUUAAAAUGCAAUGACAAGCAUACUAUUUUAUAUGAGUAGCAUGUUUUAUUUUACAUGUCUGCACGCCACAUCUGCCUGGUGCUGGUGGAGGUCAGAAGAGAGCGUCUGAUCCUUUGGAAUUGGAGUUACAGAUGGUUGUGAGCUGCCGUGUGGGUGCUGGGAAUUGAAUCCAGAUCCUCUGGAAGAGCAGCCAGUGCUCUUAACUGCUGAGCCAUCUCUCUAGCCCUGUAUGUUAGCAAAAAGAGAUGGAGCCCGGUAGACACUGGGGACAAGCCUUUGUUGGGAAGACUGGGAUUUGGCUUUCAAGUUUUUCUGUUAUGCUUUCCAGCCACCAGGAGACAUGCCCUAGUUUCCACCAUGAUGCCUGUGUUGGAGGAGACCUGUACUGGCUGGUUUUGUGUGUCAACUUGACACAAGUUAUUGUUAUCUCAAAGAAAGGAGCCUCUUUUGAGCAAAUGCCUCCAUGAGACCCAGCUGUAAGGCAUUUUCUCAAUUAUCGAUCAAAGGGGAAGGGCCAUUGUGGGUGGAGCCAUCCCUGGGCUGGUGGUCUUGGGUUCUAUAAGAAGGCAAACUGAGCAAGCCAGGGGAAGCAAGCCAGUAAGUAACAUCCCUCCAUGGCCUCUGCAUCAGCUCCUGCUUCCUGACCUGCUUGAGUUCCAGUCCUGACUUCCUUUGGUGAUGAACAGCAACGUGAAAGUGUAAGCUGAAUAAACCCUUUCCUCCCCAACUUGCUUCUUGGUCAUGAUGUUUGUGCAGGAAUAGAAACCACGACUAAGACAAACGGGUACAGCGGAAUGUUGUUAGGAGUCAUUUUAUUGCAACAUUCCUUUAGCAGAACAGCAGUAUUUAGUUUUCCCCUAGGCUCAUGGCCUACGCACUCCCAGGUUCUUGGUCAUCUGAGCAGUGUCAGGCAUGGGUUCCGUCUCGUGAAGGGGACCGUAAAUCCAGUCAGAGAGUGGCUGGUUACUUCUACAGAUUUUGUCACCUUUCCACCAAUGUAUCAUGCAGGCAGGUCACCACUGAGGAUUGAAGGGUUUAUAGCUAGAUUAGUGUUUACCUUUCUCUGAUAGUGUGUGCAGUCCUGUUCCAUACCAUGAACACUCCUAGUCAGUAGGGGUGAAGGCUUUAUAGAGGCACCAGCUUGGCUUCUCCAUGUUUAAUGAGUUGUGUAGAUGUUGACUUCAGCAAUAGGAUCUUACCGUCAGUUUGUGAACAGCAUUCCAGCCUGGGUUGGAGGCCCAGCAUCUCUGACAAGCUCCUGGGAAGUGCAGUUGCUUCUGAUGUAAGGACUGUGUGGAGGUUUGAAUGAAAAUGCCUCCCCAUCCCCAGGUUCAUAGGGAGUGAACUAUUUGAAAAAUUAAGAUGUAUACGGUUGAAGUAGAUGUUGGAGAGGGGUGUCAUGGGGUCAGGGGUUGAGGUUUCAAAUGCUCAAGCCAGGACCAAUCUUUCUUUCUCUUCUUAUGUUGGAAGAGCCUGCUGUUAAGGUCAAAGUUACCAUGUUCAGAUAAGCUCUCCUAGUCUGGUGAAAAAUGGAGGACUCUCAUCCUCCUCUUUCCUGAUCCUAUAUGGAGAGUGUCUCUAAGCACAGGUGCCUGACCUUAUCUAGAGGAUAAUAUUGCACAAUUUCCUGCAAAUGCUGCGUGACUUAGCACAGAGGUCCUGCUCAGCCCUUCCUGUGAAUGAUAAUUAGGUUUAGCACUUUCCUACUGUAAACCCCCAAAACCUCUGAGCAUAGUCAUACAGUCUAUGGCCAGAUUACAGGUUAAACAGUCCCCCAUCCCUUACCACCAUAGAACCUGAACGCGCCUGGUAGGUUCUUAUAAUUCCUCUUCAUGUAAAAGAAGUUUUCCCACCCUAGCCAAUAGUGUAUAUUCACCCUGGAAACCCCACCCACUCCACAAGAUCUAUAGAACCCUUGUUCACUCCAGCAAAGUGGAGCUCAUCCUGGAAGUCAAUCAUAGCUGUUCCAGCCCUAACCCCCACCCCCACCCCACUUCCUUUGCCCUUGUAGCCAACAGCCCUGGGGGAGAAGAGAGGGUCUCAUUCCUGCUGCCUGCUACCUCUCCAGCACCAUAUCUACCUGCGUACUGCCACGCUUCCUGUCAUGAAUGGGAUAAAGCUCUGAAACUGUAGGUCAGCCCCAGGUAAAUAGUUUCCUCUCUAAGAGUUGCCAUGGUCACGGUGCCUCUUUGCAAUCAAAACACGGAUAAUGACAGGCCGUAUUUUGAGCUACGCUGACUUUGGCUUAACUGCAGUACUCUAUUAAGCAAUUAACUUAUAUAAAGAAUAUAUCACAAACUGCUCAUAGCCCAGGGUCUUGAUACUGGGCACUGUGAUAUAGCCUCUGUUAGGGUUUUGAAUCUCUGCCCAUGCCUGGACAGAACACAUCCAGCCACCAUGGUUCCUCGUGGAGAGGUUUAAUGAGAGAAGAGUAGAAGAGUGGAAAGGCAGCUGGCCAUCGGCAUGUGUGUGUGUGUGUGGGGGGGGAAGGGGGCAGGAGCAUCGAAGAACAAAGAGCAAGGGGGUGUGAGAAAGGAGGAAGAGAGAGUAAGAGGAGGAGGAGGAGCGGGCAAGCAGCCCCUUAUGUAGUCAGGCACGGCUGGCUGUUGCUAGGCAACUGUGGGGCGGAGCAUACCUGGCUGCUACCAGGUAGCUGUGGGGGUGGAGCUUAGACAGAAUACCAACCGCCUCCUUCACAGAGCCAGUCAAAACAGGCUGGGGAGUCUGCAACAGACAUCAGCCGGAGGAGGGACAGAGAGGCCAACUGCCAUUUGGAUUUAACAGGCUUUAAAAGGUUGCCAACUGAGAAAGGAGUUAUGCCGGUGCCCAAUUAUCUAUCUGCCUCCCCUGCUCCGCGGACUCUAUGCUACCAGAGAGAAAUAAAUUAUCCUAGGGCAGAGAUUUGGAAACCUUUGGAACCAUUUACAGACUCUUAGGUUAAAUAUGCUGAGUCGCGUCUUCAGUUACUGGAGGCACAUGUUAGUAUACUGAGCAUUGGCCUAAAGUGCUUUUUAAGAAAGUGAAAUGUACACAUACAAGCUACUAUUUUCCCCUUUGAGUCAGAUGCAUACAUAUUGUUCCUGAACAUUUUCUCUCCAGGAGAAAAUGAAAAACCAUAUUUAAAAAUGAGGAGGAGGAGGAAGAAGAGGAAGAAGAAGAGGAGGAGGAGGAGGAGGAAGAGGAGGAAGAGGAGACAUGGACUCUGAAAUCCUGCCUAAUCUGAACUGUGCUUGGAAAAAUUGGCCGAGUGAUUCUUUACAAAGAACAAAUGUGGGUUAGAGGCUGAUCCUACUCCAAUAGGCCAUCCCUCACGGCCUUGUGCUCACAACACACCUCCCCAUAUUGCUUUCCUCCUCCUUCUCCCUCUCCUCAUGGUCUCUCCUCAGACCCCAAGCCCAGGAACCAAAGCCCUGCUUAUCUCUGCUGGGCUACAGGCUGUCAGCAUCUUUAUUGACAAAUAGUUUUAAAUUAAGGAGCAAGGCUUGUACAAUGAAAGCUGGCAUACGUGAGGACUCACUCAUUUUGAGUCAGCUAGAUCUUGGGAUAUAGAAUUUAGCAUUACAAUACAUAGUGACAGACCAAACCUAACAAUAUGGAGUCAUCAUGUAACCAAGGAGAGAGAAACCCUAAUUAGAUAUCAUAUGCUAUCAAAUAAAAACCCCGCUAUCAGGA